Molecule: RNA transcript, 3427 nt
Organism: Sciurus carolinensis (gray squirrel)
Lineage: Eukaryota; Metazoa; Chordata; Mammalia; Rodentia; Sciuridae
Gene: Ppp1r3e
Gene name: protein phosphatase 1 regulatory subunit 3E
Exons: 3
Source: RefSeq, a predicted model, not a curated record
GCCCGCAGAACCGAAGGGUGAGCGUUGUGGAGCGCACGCUCAGAGCACACAGCUCAUAGGAGGCAGGAUGUGAUAGUCCAAAACCCUGGGAGCUGACGGUCAGAGGGAGGGAAAGGUGGUUACCGAGAUCAUGCAGAGCAACGGGAGGUGGAGGAUCCUGGAGGUGACAGCAAGGAGAGUACGCUAUGGCUAGGGGUUGCUGAAGCGGGUCACUGUGACUUCUGUGGGGACGCAGGGCAAGCGGGCAAGAGGAAGGGAAGGCAGUCCUGGGGCGCCGCGGACUGGCACCGCUGGGGCGGGGGAUAACAUGUCCCGCGAGAGGCCCCCCCGCACCGACAUACCCCGCAACCUGAGCUUUAUAGCUGCGCUAACCGAGCGCGCCUACUACCGCAGCCAGCGGCCCAGCCUCGAGGAGGAGCCGGAGGAGGAGCCAGCCGAGGGCGGGACGCGCCUGGGGGCUCGAUCCCGUGCUCCCGCUCCGAGUCGGGGUCGCCGGGCCCGUUCCGCACCCGCAGGAGGCGGCGGGGCCCGGGCGCCCCGCAGCAGAAGCCCGGACACCCGCAAGAGAGUGCGUUUCGCUGACGCGCUGGGGCUGGAGCUGGCCGCGGUGCGCCGCUUCCGCCCCGGAGAGCUGCCUCGGGUACCUCGCCACGUGCAGAUCCAGCUGCAAAGAGACGCCCUCCGCCACUUCGCGCCGUGCCAGCCGCGCGCCCGCAGCCUCCAGGAGGCGCGCGCCGCCCUAGAGCCUGCCAGCGAGCCCGGCUUCGCCGCCCGCUUACAGGCGCAGCGCAUCUGCCUAGAACGCGCCGAGGCGGGCCCCCUGGGCGUGGCUGGGAGCGCGCGCGUUCUGGACCUGGCCUACGAGAAGCGCGUUAGCGUGCGCUGGAGCGCCGACGGCUGGAGAAGCCAGCGCGAAGCGCCCGCUGCCUACGCCGGUCCGGCCCCGCCCCCGCCGCGCGCCGAUCGUUUCGCCUUCCGCCUUCCAGCACCGCCGAUUGGGGGCGCCCUGCUCUUCGCCCUACGCUACCGUGUGACUGGUCGCGAGUUCUGGGACAACAACGGCGGCCGCGACUAUGCUCUACGUGGGCCCGAACACCCGGGCAGUGGCGGAGUCCCGGAGCCCCAGGGCUGGAUCCACUUUAUCUAAGACAAGACGCCCUCAGCCCAUGGCGGAAAAAAAAAAGGCACCCAGGGUUGGGGGGGGGGACUAGAAAACUACGUGGUGGGAGAAACUUAGGGAGCGGUCCCAGUCAGGUGGGGGAGGGCGAGGAAGGCGGGAGAAAUCAAGGAGUUUGGGGGUACUUGGGGUGGAAAAUGCUGGCUGGGCGUGAGUGGAAAGAACCCAUGGCAUAGGAGAAAGGAAGCCGGAAAGGACACUGAAGGGAUUAAAAGAAAGCAUAAGAAUGGGGAUGAUAGUAGCCUCUUCCCUGAGUUGUAACUGGGAGAGAGUGAGUUGGCCCCACAGGCUUACGGAGAUGUUAGGAACGUCUUUGGAUUUGAGGAGGCGUUAUGGAUUGAGGAGGUGUGAUGUGUGAAUUAGUCCACCCCAUUUGAAGUCAACGGAUCGUGCUGGCUUACUUCCGUUUAUCGGCCUUUGCCACCUCAGGUCCCUCAGUCCUGCCCAUCCUAGCUUUAUCUCAGCCAUAAAUGCCUUGCUUAAUCCUAGGAACUUAGCCAUUGCUCCCCCUGAACCCUGGCAUUAUGACAGGAUUUCCUUGUCACCCGACAGUUCCUCCCUGAAAUUUUUAUGUAUUGGCUGGGGAAUGAUGACAAGUAGUAGAACUCUUUUCUCCAACCUCCAGGCAAAUUAGGGAUUAUAAUCGAGGCAAAAGCAACUCCAAGCCUGUCCUUGUAGCCAAAUAAUGGGGCACCUAAGGUGUUGGUAUACUCAGGGGCUUCCAGAAGAAUGCCAGCCUUAUAUUUCUGGGUGCCUUCUAAAAACUUCUAAGCACUUUAUGGACUGUUGUCAAGGAACAGUGAAUCACAAAAAUCACUUUUCUGAUUUAGAAGAAAAAGAAGUCACUGAUUUGCUGUACCACUUUAAGCAAGUUACUUCACUUCUUUGGGCCCCACUUUCCUUCUUGGGAAAUUGGAUUUGAUUUAGGUGGUCUUUUUAAGGCUUCAUUUUGUUUGACAUUUUAUCAUCUGCAUUGUAUAGUGAGGAUUAGAAGCCACAUUCUUCAACCUUUUGCUACAUUUCAGGAGACACAGAGCCCUGAACUUAAGGUUGUGGCCAAGGAUGGGCCCUCCAGUUUUGGGCAAAAAUGUUCCAGAAGCCAGCAAGUAUUCCACAAUCACCCUGCAACUUCUUCCAAACCUUGGCACAUUCUCUGCCCCUUGCUGUUUGCUCUUGCCUCCAGAGACUUCCAGACUGGAUGCUCUGAGACAGCUUUGGGGAGGCAUAUCUGAGUUGGGGGAAAUGAUGUAAGAGCCCCCAACGAAAGGAAACAAUGCCAGGAUCUCUCUUGAAAAUGGAAAAACCAUCAAGAAUGAGAGCAACUUGACAAGUGACACCAGAAGAUGGCAGUCUUAUCCAUAUUCUGAGCAUGUGAAAUGGGAAAGCUGACUCUUCUACCCAUUCUCAUUCAUGCCUUAUGUCUCUCCUGGUUAACCUCAACAUGGGAGUUCUUUCUUUCCUGGUCACUUGGUUUCCUUUCCUCUUACCCUAUACCUAACCUCUUCACUUCCUGCUUUCUUUCCUUGUUCCUCUCCCUUCUCAUCACUUUAUUUUCUUUGAACAUGUAAGUUAUUUACUUUUAUUGUAGGUUUUUUACCUUAAUUUUCUCCCUUUCCCUCUUCAUUCUUAGUUGAUUUCUGCUAUUGCUUCUUUCUCCAGAAGGGGUAGAGAACCUUUUCUCCAAGACAAUGGUUGAUCCACCUUCCUCCCUCAGGCUCCUUCUUGACAGUCUUCUAAAGGGAGAAAAGGGAAAAGAAGCAGUUCCUGUUGUUACAGAUGAACAAGGAGCCCUCAGGUCACCCUAAGGUCAGAGUUCCAGCAAAGUGAGGAGAGAAACUACUGGAAGUCACCAAGCAAUGUACUAUUUAAUCAUCAAGAGGAACACAGGAAGUCUGGGUCAAGGUUCAGUGUGUAACAAUGUCUUGCCUGAUGUAUAUGUGUUACUGUUAUGACACAUUAACAGUAGUAAUAGCUUAUGUUUUCUUAACAUUUAUCUGCUAAAAUCUGUUUUGUGUGCAUGCUCAAAAUAAUCCUAUGAGUUGAGUAUUAUCAUUAUUCCUGUUUUAUUAAAGAUAAGCCCCAGAGAAACUCAGUGUUUUGUUCAAGAUUUCACUGCUAAGCAAGGUGCACCUGUAAUCCCAGUGACUCGAAGGCUGAGACAGGAGGAUUGCGAGUCUAAGGCUAGCCUCUGCAAUUUAAUGAGAACCUGUUUCAAAAUAAAAAGGACAGGGAAUAUAGCUCAGUGGUAAA